GACCUAGCCGGGUGGUCUUGCCGAAAGGUAAGCACUGCUUUUGGUCGGGUCUUUCCUUCUGGGGAACCAGCGUGCGCUUGAUUGAGUGCGUUGGGGAUCCAGGACUUUUACUUUGAAAAAAUUAGAGUGUUUAAAGCAGGCUCGCGCUUGAAUACAUUAGCAUGGAAUAAUGAAAUAGGA
Molecule: ribosomal RNA, 180 nt
Filed under: uncultured Glomeromycotina
Lineage: Eukaryota; Fungi; Glomeromycota
Description: partial small subunit ribosomal RNA
Rfam family: Eukaryotic small subunit ribosomal RNA (bases 91-180)
Source: RNAcentral